Molecule: long non-coding RNA, 327 nt
Filed under: Setaria viridis
Lineage: Eukaryota; Viridiplantae; Streptophyta; Magnoliopsida; Poales; Poaceae
Description: long non-coding RNA (SVIR_LNC010272)
Source: RNAcentral
AUACCCUACGUCCUGUGUUUUGCUGGAUUGUAUUGCUUUGUUCUGGUGCGAAUAGAUUGGUUUUGGAUCUCUUGAACAUGAAUGCACUACUUGUUAGCUAUCUAGAAAUCACAUUGAUCUAUAUUUUUGUUACAUGUGCUCUAAUGUCUUUCCUUUUCUUUCAUAUCUUGUUGCAGCUUAGGCACUAGCUUGAGGACAAAGAUGUCAGCUUGGUGGUGUGUCAUCAUCCAAUGUGGUAGGUAUAGUAUAAUUUUGGCAAUUAUAUGAGCCACUAUGAAACUAGGGUGUGCCAGUUCUCAAUGAUCGAGGUCAAAGAUAUUAGGUUCU